Molecule: long non-coding RNA, 622 nt
Organism: Ipomoea nil (Japanese morning glory)
Lineage: Eukaryota; Viridiplantae; Streptophyta; Magnoliopsida; Solanales; Convolvulaceae
Exons: 3
Source: RefSeq, a predicted model, not a curated record
AAGUGAAAAACCGCUGUCAACUGCUUCCGUAGUUCCAUACAUUGCAUCUUGGUUAAACCCUCGUAGCUCGCACUCUCAAACUGAUGCAGAAGAGCGGCUUCACUCUUCUACAAACAGUCGCCACUGCCGGCGUCUUCUCCGCCGUGUCUUUCUGGUAUGGAUUUAUGUUCGGCAGAGAGUCUUCUCGCAAGGAGCUCCAAGGCCUGAUCGAAACUCUUCGCCAGAGCAAUUGCGAUUCCGAUUCUUCACAUCCUCCACAUUCCUGACCUCGGUUCAAACGCGAAAGGGUUCUCUCCAUAAACAGCAAAGUAGUCUAGUUGCAAGUCUAAAUCCCAAUCAAGACAAUUUUCAAGCAUCUUUCUGGAUAAUGUUCCUUGAAAACGUAUGAUUUAUGACACUUGAGGAUUUUCAUUGUGGAAGCUCUGGGUUCAAAAUGUGAUUUGGUGACCGUGUUUUUAAGUGUUUUGUACUUGAAUCUUACAUGCUUCGUGUGUAAUGGACUAAUGGUGGAGUUAUAAACACCGGGAAAUUUUAUUCAUGUUGAUACACUAGUUGCGUCUUGAAGAUUAGGAAAGACAAAGGCAGUAGUACUAGAUUGUUUACAUGAUUCAACCAUUUUCUC